AACAACAAAAUUGCACAAAUUAGCCUGAAUAAAAUCCGAGCCAUUUCAAUAACAGAAUUCCUGCAUAAUUUCACAGAAAAAUAACCAAUCCAAUAACAUAAUUUCUUCCUAACAAGCUUCUAAUCUCACUCUCCAUCACUCUAUAUAAAUCAAUCCUCACCUCUCUCAAAGCUUCCAGAUUCUUCUUCUUCCUCCAUCACCUAAUCUUCUUCAACCUCUAACAACUGAACCAAGCCUCUCUUCAAUUCCUUCAACAACCGUAACAAACUCACAAAACCGUUAACCACCACUUCAACCUCCUCUUCCCAACCGAGCUUUCAUCCAACCUUCACUACGCUUCCAGAUUCUUCUUCUUCUUCCCUCCCUCCAAAUUCUAACAAACUUCACAAUCACAAUCUAGAAUCCACCUUCAACCUCCAUUGAACCAACACACUGAACCUUCCAUUGGUAACACUCAACACCAUAAACUCCAAUCCCUCUUCAUAAUCACCUUAUCGAUAACAUAAUCGAAACACUAGAAAAGCUUCACAAAAGAAUUGAGGAAGAAGCUUCGUAACAGAAGUGAUUCGCAACAGAAUAAAGUAGAGAAAAAGCUUGAAAGUACCUUUCC
RNAcentral lists this long non-coding RNA (610 nucleotides) under Lathyrus oleraceus (garden pea). Its description in RNAcentral is "Pisum sativum (pea) long non-coding RNA (PSAT_LNC040876)". The record is from RNAcentral. Lineage: Eukaryota; Viridiplantae; Streptophyta; Magnoliopsida; Fabales; Fabaceae.